This 1086-nucleotide ribosomal RNA is filed under the name Triticum aestivum (bread wheat). RNAcentral's name for it is "partial small subunit ribosomal RNA". The record is from RNAcentral. Lineage: Eukaryota; Viridiplantae; Streptophyta; Magnoliopsida; Poales; Poaceae.
AUGGCGUCCGGCCAUUUCCAAGUGGAAGCGGCGCUGCUGAUGCUUCCGCUGGUAAUGCUGGUGCUCAACUCGGGCGGCGGCAGCGCUGCUGGUGCAGUGGUGCCGGCGGUGAUCGUGUUCGGCGACUCGACGGUGGACACGGGCAACAACAACCACAUCGGCACGACGCUGCGGUCUGACUUCCCGCCCUACGGCCGCGACAUGCCGGGCGGUGCCCGCGCCACGGGGCGGUUCGGCAACGGGCGGCUGCCUCCGGACUUCAUCUCCGAGGCGCUGGGCCUGCCGCCGCUCGUCCCGGCGUACCUCGACCCGGCCUACGGCAUCGGCGACUUCGCGCGCGGCGUCUGCUUCGCCUCCGCCGGCACCGGCGUCGACAACGCCACCGCCGGCGUCCUGUCAGUGAUCCCGCUGUGGAAGGAGGUGGAGUACUACAAGGAGUACCAGCUCCGGCUGCGCGCGUACGCCGGCGCCGAGCGCGCCCGCGCCAUCGUCCGCGGCGCGCUCCACGUCGUCAGCAUCGGCACCAACGACUUCCUCGAGAACUACUACAUGCUCGGCACGGGCCGCUUCGCCGAGUACACGGUGGCCGAGUUCUCCGACUUCCUCGUCGCCGGCGCGCGCCGUUUCCUGUCGGAGAUCCAUCGCCUCGGCGCGCGCCGCGUCACCUUCGCGGGGCUCGCCGCCAUCGGCUGCCUCCCGCUGGAGCGCGCCGAGAACAUGAUCCAUGGCGGCGGCUGCAUCGAGGAGUACAACCGGGUGGCCAGGGAGUACAACGCCAAGGUGGAGGCCAUGCUGGGGGGGCUCCGCGCCGAGCUCCCGGACCUCAGGCUCGCCUACGUGCCCGUCUACGACACCAUGCUCGACCUCGUCACCAACCCGGCCAAGUUCGGGCUGGAGAACGUGGAGGAAGGGUGCUGCGCCACGGGGAGGUUCGAGAUGGGGUUCAUGUGCAACGACGAGGCUCCCAUGACCUGCGCUGACGCCGACAAGUUCCUCUUCUGGGACGCAUUCCACCCCACGCAGAAGGUGAACCGGAUCAUGGCCAACCACACGAUCGACAUCUGCUACCAGCAAGGCCUCCUAUGA